GGGAGCUCACGCAUAUCUCCACACCGCCAGCGCAGGGGACAUGCGGGCUGCACAACGCCAUCCCUCCCAAAAGCCUUGGAUGCUCCUACCUGCCUGCCGGGUCGCCUAGUCUUUUGGAAUGACUGCUGUAAAAGGGGAUCAGGAUUGCCACCUUGAACUACUGACAGCCAAGACAUGUUUUGUGUCUGGUACUAAAACUCUUCCAAAAAUUCUCCUCUUCUGUCCAUCUAGCAUCUUCACAAUGUUCAGCCCUGUCCUCUUGCACAGAAAAAAGCCCAGGAUGUUCAUGUCACACACCUUCAGUCCCAAUCCUGCUGUUUCACCUGAUUUCACCCCAAUCCUAAUUCAGCCAUGAAGAUAUCUGUCCUUCCAGAACAUCUCAUGGUCAAGAGCAGGAGACUUGCCAGAUUUCUUCCCUAUCAGAAGUCUUCUCCCUGUCCAUUGGGACCUAUGCACCAAGGCUGAGAAGGAAGGCCACCAAGAUUUCAUCUGCAUGACCCGAAAGGACUUCUCCCAGCCUAUUUCUUAGAAAAACAGAUCAACUCUUCUUCUUGAAGAUUUCUAUGCAGACAGCAAUGUAAACAAAGCCAAAAAAGAAAAAGCCAAAAAUGCAAUCCUUCUUCCAGAUGAUGAUUGCCCAGAAAGCACGCACAAAGGCAGCAGGUGACACGCCAUGAAUAGAUGCUGGAUUUACAAGAAAGUGUCCAGAGCGUCAACAUCUCCCAAAGCCAUGGAGUUACAAUGCCAAGAAAUAUGUCAGCUCCUGCUACAUUUUCCUGGGACCACACAACAGGAGAAGAAAGAGACAUUCAGCUCCCAAAACCUGAGCACGACCUCACAGGAAGAGUUGCUUCAGUCCUAUUCCAGUCUCUCCCAUGUUUCCAACAUGCCUUCUUCAUGCCCUUCGGUCGCGUCCAAAAGACGGCAGCCACCAAGAUCAGAGGUCCCACACCCCCUUAAGCUACAAAGCCCAUGGUAAGAAGAAUAACCAGAUCCACUUAAUGCCAGCAGCUGCCUGCAUUUCGAAGAACACUGUGUGCAGUAGUGAGCCUGAUCCUCACUACUUACAGGUAAUUAGAGUGGAUCGUGCUUUCACCAAAAAUUCAUUUAGAGCAAAAUCCCUCAAGCCCUAACAGGAAAAAGGGAGUACACAAUGCUAUCCACUUCACUGAUAUUUUAUUGUUUGCCAUCAUUAUUUGGAAUUUUCCAGGGACUGAUCAUUUCAGGUUAUUGUGGACAAGGCCCUUAAAAAUCCUCUCUGCAACAUUC
Long non-coding RNA from Harpia harpyja (harpy eagle), 1269 nucleotides. RefSeq lists it as uncharacterized. The transcript has 3 exons. NCBI's taxonomy places the organism in Eukaryota, Metazoa, Chordata, Aves, Accipitriformes, Accipitridae. The record is from RefSeq and is a predicted model, not a curated record.